RNAcentral lists this long non-coding RNA (1296 nucleotides) under Cricetulus griseus (Chinese hamster). Its description in RNAcentral is "lncRNA (ENSCGRG00015042898.1)". The record is from RNAcentral. Lineage: Eukaryota; Metazoa; Chordata; Mammalia; Rodentia; Cricetidae.
GGUAUUAAGAUUUUAAUCUUUGGGAUCCAGCCAAACUUGACGGCCACUAUGGGGUAAUGUCUUCUCAAGACGAAUGCCCCACAGUCUGCACCGUGGUCGUUACAGCUAUUUCCUGGUGUGGGCAAAUGCCAUGCAACUAAGUCACAAGGACGAGUGGUCGAAUAUAAGGGAGAAAAAGGCCGAUAAGCAUGGAUCACCUACAACUUCCUCAGGAAAAGUUUAACCAAGAAGUGAACUCUGCUGUGACUGAUGCCAAACAAAUGACUCCAACAGGUGAAGGCUACAUUUUGGCUUGUUUCUUCAGUCCCUUGCGAUGGGAAGGAAGUCCAGUGUUUGACAGAGCAGAACUCAUGCCACGGCAUCCAGGAAGCAGAGAGAACCUCUGCACUCUAGGGGCUAUCUGCUUUUCCUGGGACUUCGUUGGGGGCUCCAACCUUACACUGGGGGUGGAUCUUCACCCCUUAGAUUUCCUUUUCUAGGAAUGCACCCUGCAGCCCCUACAGAUGCCUGAGAAGUGCCUUUUGCUAACCUCAGGCACUCCUCAGUCCAGCCAAGUUGAUAAUUAAGAUUAACCAUAAGCCUUUGUCAAACUCACACCCAAGCAUAUCUCCCUAAACAAUAACACUCUGUUCCUGGCCCUGAAAAGGGUCAUGCCCUUCCCAUAAGGCAAAGUGCACGCAGUUCAUCUCCGUGGGGUCUCACAGUCUUAAUGGUUCCAAGGACCGUCCAAGUCUCCUCUAGGAGUCCAGGCAACUUCUCAGCUGUGAUCCCCAGUAACAACAAAACCAAGUUACGUGUUCCCAAGACGGCGGCACAAAGUAGACUUGCCCUUUUGGGAUUGGAAAGGAGCAAAGGGAAACGGAACCAAAGCAAGACCAAAGCCCAGCAUGGAAAACGCUAAAUCCUGGCAGCUCUCUGCCUGGCGUCCUGGUCAUGUGGUGCUGAUAUGUAACCUCCAGCAGAUGUCAACAGCUGGCCUCUGUGGUCUGGUCAGUCUCAGCCCACGUGGCGUGUCUUUGACUGACUCUGUUUGCUGCCUGUGGCUUUUUGGUGAUAGACAUUCUAAGCUCUUGACCUUUUCAACAUCCCAGGGGUCCUCACCCUUACAGCAUCACACAUCAUCCUUGGGGUGGGGGGCUGUCUUUAGGGACUCUCACCCUGUCGUGUGCAGCCUGUUCUCCCAAACCUUGCUUUGAGAUCUGUGAGAGAGCCUUCAUGAGCUGACAGCUCUGCAAAACCAGCACCACAGGACAUCCCUAAAGUUUGCCACCAGCUCCAGCGGUAGCUAAACCCCGC